Molecule: transfer RNA, 71 nt
Filed under: Loxodonta africana (African savanna elephant)
Lineage: Eukaryota; Metazoa; Chordata; Mammalia; Proboscidea; Elephantidae
Rfam family: tRNA
About the family: Transfer RNA (tRNA) molecules are approximately 80 nucleotides in length.
Source: Rfam by way of RNAcentral
GCAGUGGUUGUUCAGUGAUAGAAUUCUUGCCUUCCACACAGGAGAUCUAGGUUCGAUUCUCAGCCAGUGCA